GAGUUUGAUCGUGGCUCAGGAUGAACGCUAGCGGCAGGCUUAAUACAUGCAAGUCGAGGGGUAACAUGGGUAGCAAUACCUGAUGACGACCGGCAAACGGGUGCGGAACACGUACGCAACCUUCCCAUAACUGGUGAAUAGCCCUCCGAAAGGAGGAUUAAUACACCGUAACAUAAUGAGGUGGCAUCACUUUAUUAUUAUAGGCUUCGGCCGGUUUUGGAUGGGCGUGCGCCUGAUUAGGUAGUUGACGGGGUAACGGCCCACCAAGCCUGCGAUCAGUAACUGGUGUGAGAGCACGACCAGUCACACGGGCACUGAGACACGGGCCCGACUCCUACGGGAGGCAGCAGUAAGGAAUAUUGGUCAAUGGACGAAAGUCUGAACCAGCCAUGCCGCGUGAAGGAUUAAGGCCCUCUGGGUUGUAAACUUCUUUUAUAUGGGACGAAAAAAGGGUAUUCUUACUCACUUGACGGUACCAUAGGAAUAAGCAACCGGCUAACUCCGUGCCAGCCCGCCGCCGUAAC
RNAcentral lists this ribosomal RNA (524 nucleotides) under uncultured Sphingobacterium sp. RNAcentral's name for it is "bacterial SSU rRNA". It matches the Rfam family "Bacterial small subunit ribosomal RNA", at positions 9 to 524 of the family's 1533-position model. The record is from RNAcentral. Lineage: Bacteria; Pseudomonadati; Bacteroidota; Sphingobacteriia; Sphingobacteriales; Sphingobacteriaceae.